UUUGAACGGAGAGUUCGAUCCUGGUCAGGAUGAACGCUGGCGGCGCGCCUAACACAUGCAAGUCGAACGGUUAAGGCACCUUCGGGUGCGAAUAAAGUGGCGAACGGCUGAGUAACACGUGGGCAACCGCCCCUCGCACCGGGAUAGCCUCGGGAAACCGUGGGUUAAUACCGGAUACUCCGCACCCCCGCAUGGGGGGGCGGGAAAGCCCAGACGGCGAGGGAUGGGCCCGCGGCCUGUUAGCUCGUUGGCGGGGUAACGGCCCACCAAGGGAUUAUGGGUAGCCGGGUUGAGAGACCGACCGGCCAGAUUGGGACUGAGACACGGCCCAGACUCCUACGGGAGGCAGCAGUGGGGAAUCUUGCACAAUGGGCGAAAGCCUGAUGCAGCGACGCCGCGUGCGGGACGAAGGCCUUCGGGUUGUAAACCGCUUUCAGCAGGGACGAGGCCGCAAGGUGACGGUACCUGCAGAAGAAGCCCCGGCUAACUACGUGCCAGCAGCGCGGGUAAUAAGUGGGGCGAGCGUUAUCCGGAUUCAUUGGGCGUAAAGCGCGCGUAGGCGGCCUGCUAGGUCGGAACUCAAAUCCGGGGGCUCAACCCCGCCCGGUUCGAUACCGGCAGGCUUGAGUCUGGUAGGGGAAGGCGGAAUUCCAGUGUAGCGGUGGAAUGCGCAGAUAUUUGGAAGAACACCGGUGGCGAAGGCGGCCUUCUGGGCCACGACUGACGCUGAGGCGCGAAAGCUAGGGAGCGAACAGGAUUGAUACCCUGGUAGUCCUAGCCGUAAACGAUGGACAUAGGUGUGGGGGGAUGUGCCCCCCGUGCCGCAGCCAACGCAUUAAGUGUCCCGCCUGGG
RNAcentral lists this ribosomal RNA (853 nucleotides) under Candidatus Pseudoramibacter fermentans. Its description in RNAcentral is "bacterial SSU rRNA". It matches the Rfam family "Bacterial small subunit ribosomal RNA", at positions 1 to 877 of the family's 1533-position model. Lineage: Bacteria; Bacillati; Bacillota; Clostridia; Eubacteriales; Eubacteriaceae. The record is from RNAcentral.